NGGGGUAUAGCUCAGUGGUAGAGUGUCUGCAUAGCAUGCACGAGGUCCUGGGUUCAGUCCUUGGUACCUCCA
RNAcentral lists this transfer RNA (72 nucleotides) under Camelus ferus (Wild Bactrian camel). It matches the Rfam family "tRNA". Rfam says of the family: Transfer RNA (tRNA) molecules are approximately 80 nucleotides in length. Their secondary structure includes four short double-helical elements and three loops (D, anti-codon, and T loops). Further hydrogen bonds mediate the characteristic L-shaped molecular structure. tRNAs have two regions of fundamental functional importance: the anti-codon, which is responsible for specific mRNA codon recognition, and the 3' end, to which the tRNAs corresponding amino acid is attached (by aminoacyl-tRNA synthetases). tRNAs cope with the degeneracy of the genetic code in two manners: having more than one tRNA (with a specific anti-codon) for a particular amino acid; and 'wobble' base-pairing, i.e. permitting non-standard base-pairing at the 3rd anti-codon position. The record is from Rfam by way of RNAcentral. Lineage: Eukaryota; Metazoa; Chordata; Mammalia; Artiodactyla; Camelidae.